GCAUUGGUGGUUCAGUGAUAGAAUUCUCACCUUCUACACAGGCGACCUGGGAUCAGUUCCCAGCCAAUGCG
RNAcentral lists this transfer RNA (71 nucleotides) under Loxodonta africana (African savanna elephant). It matches the Rfam family "tRNA". Rfam says of the family: Transfer RNA (tRNA) molecules are approximately 80 nucleotides in length. Their secondary structure includes four short double-helical elements and three loops (D, anti-codon, and T loops). Further hydrogen bonds mediate the characteristic L-shaped molecular structure. tRNAs have two regions of fundamental functional importance: the anti-codon, which is responsible for specific mRNA codon recognition, and the 3' end, to which the tRNAs corresponding amino acid is attached (by aminoacyl-tRNA synthetases). tRNAs cope with the degeneracy of the genetic code in two manners: having more than one tRNA (with a specific anti-codon) for a particular amino acid; and 'wobble' base-pairing, i.e. permitting non-standard base-pairing at the 3rd anti-codon position. The record is from Rfam by way of RNAcentral. Lineage: Eukaryota; Metazoa; Chordata; Mammalia; Proboscidea; Elephantidae.